This 74-nucleotide transfer RNA is filed under the name Candidatus Berkelbacteria bacterium. Its description in RNAcentral is "tRNA-Gln". It matches the Rfam family "tRNA". Rfam says of the family: Transfer RNA (tRNA) molecules are approximately 80 nucleotides in length. Their secondary structure includes four short double-helical elements and three loops (D, anti-codon, and T loops). Lineage: Bacteria; Candidatus Berkelbacteria. The record is from RNAcentral.
UGCGAGAUAGUUUAAUGGUAGAACACCAGGCUCUGGACCUGGGAAUCCUGGUUCGAGUCCAGGUCUCGCAGCCA